This 492-nucleotide ribosomal RNA is filed under the name uncultured bacterium. RNAcentral describes it as "partial 16S ribosomal RNA". It matches the Rfam family "Bacterial small subunit ribosomal RNA", at positions 28 to 507 of the family's 1533-position model. The record is from RNAcentral.
GAUGAACGCUAGCUCCAGGCUUAACACAUGCAAGUCGAGGGGAAACGACAUCGAAAGCUUGCUUUUGAUGGGCGUCGACCGGCGCACGGGUGAGUAACGCGUAUCCCACCUGCCCAUCACUUGGGUAUAACCUUGCGAAAGUAAGACUAAUACCCAAUGAUAUCUCUAGAAGACAUCUGAUAGAGAUUACAGCUUUAUCGGUUAUGGAUGGGGAUGCGUCUGAUUAGCUUGUUGGCGGGGUAACGGCCCACCAAGGCAACGAUCAGUAGGGGUUCUGAGAGGAAGGUCCCCCACAUUGGAACUGAGACACGGUCCAAACUCCUACGGGAGGCAGCAGUGAGGAAUAUUGGUCAAUGGGCGAGAGCCUGAACCAGCCAAGUAGCGUGCAGGAAGACGGCCCUAUGGGUUGUAAACUGCUCUUAUAAGGGAAUAAAGUGAGAGUCGUGACUCUUUUUGUAUGUACCUGAUGAAUAAGGACCGGCUAAUUCCGUG